CCGCUCACUUUGGAAGCACAUACACUAAAAUUGGAAGACUACGGAGAAGAUUAGCAUGGCCCCUGUGCAAGGAUGAUACGCAAAUUCAUGAAGCGCUCCAUAUUUUU
This 107-nucleotide small nuclear RNA is filed under the name Chinchilla lanigera (long-tailed chinchilla). Lineage: Eukaryota; Metazoa; Chordata; Mammalia; Rodentia; Chinchillidae. The record is from RNAcentral.